Molecule: RNA transcript, 1880 nt
Organism: Nymphalis io (European peacock)
Lineage: Eukaryota; Metazoa; Arthropoda; Insecta; Lepidoptera; Nymphalidae
Exons: 5
Source: RefSeq, a predicted model, not a curated record
CGCCGCGUCUUACGUUCCGAAGCCACCGUAUAGCUCUGUGUUCUAUCACUCGCGAAGCCACGCGGACAUUGUGAAAGUGUGAUUACAACGAUUUCUCGGUAGUGAGAGUAAGCCGAGUGCACCCGCGACACUAGCGUCUAAAUUUAGUGGUGUGAAAUUGUCUCGCGAAUAUAAGAGAGUUCAAUGGAAGCCAGGUUCGUGACCUGCCGGAGCUUCCAGCAGAUCAAGCCGCCCGAAAAGAGUUUAGCACCGCCACCGACGGUGAAGGGCCUGCUGUCUCGCUUCGGAAGCCAAGCUCAGGCUUUAUUUGCGCCUAAGAAACAAAGAUUCGGUUCUUCGGUUGCAAUCCACAAAUUAAGGGAGUCAAAGUGGUUUAAGCAUGAGGAACAGAAUAUUCUGUGCGCCGUGCUCGAAUCCGGAUUCGUUCUGGAAGUCAGAGCUGAAGAUCCAUUGCCGCCUGACACGACGUUGUCCCCAGACUACCAUAUGUACGCCAUUGCCAUGUGGAAGAAGGGUAAAGAAAAAACAAAGAACCCGGAACAGAUAGAGGUGUACACAGUGCAGCAAAAAGGCGUGCGUAAACGUAUUAUCAAGACUACUUUGGGAGCCUUCUGGAAGAAAGAUUCCGUUAUAAGAAUCAACAACGUUGAUGACAAACAAGAGACGCCCAACAGCGAAAAAGACAUCAGGGCUAAGCUUGACAUGGCAACAAAAUCCAGAUUUGAACGUAACUGGCAUAAUACACUGCAUUUCGUCCACUGGUGCCGAUACGGGGAGACUCCACAAGAAGCUAGAAUGAGACAGAUCAGCUUAACGACGUCGAAAACACCCAUGAUUAUCAUAUUUUGAUGGUAAUCGUUGAGGCGCUUUGGACAAAACGGCUGGCACCUUUAAUAUUACCGAUAAGCGAGUCGCUAAAGUGGGGCAACAUCGGCAUGAAUAUGGGUGUGAUGCUCGUCAGCCAAAACAACGCCCGCGCUAAAGCGAAGUCCGUUUGAGUGUCGCAGGCCGGCAACGCCGGCACAUGCUACGCUUGUUUCUGGCAACCCUCGCCAGGAAAUAUCGAUUUCGUUUAAAUUUCGAAUACGUUCAUUCCAUUUUUUUAAUUCGAUCUUUUAAACAACGAUAUGGAAUUUAAAAUAUUUACAAUUAAAUAUUAGUAUUUCGGAAUUGGGUAAACAAUACGGAAUCUCUCGCAUUAUCUUUUAGAUUGAGGUCCGAAUGGUUGUUUAUGGACAACUAAAUUGUAAAAUUCGUUGACGCGACAUACACGUGGUUUUGAAUUUGGAAUCAUCGAUGAUUUAAUUUCUUUUUUAACCAAGAUUUUAUUAACUUCCAUUGUAAAUAAAACUAGUUGACAUUAAAACAAGUAUAUUUUUGAAAUAGUGUGAGGGAUGAAGAAGCUUUAAUUUUUCUCUAGAAAUUGAUUUGAUUCUAACAUUCCUGAUAUAAAGAAAAGACGCCCCGCGGCUUCGAAUGAGUAUGUUGUAUGUUUUAAUUUAAUCGUUUUAUCCACGAGUGUAGUCAUUAUUAUUAUCCGACGAAUGUUUACACUUAGGGCGAUAAUUUUACGUUCACUAUUAUUGCUAAGAUUUUCGACUUUAUAAGACUGUUCUGAUUAAAAACAAAAUAAUUAUUAAACUACGAAAAACGUGUUAAAUGUAAAUAAUUCGAUUUAAUAAAUAAAUGAUAAAAUUAAGAAAACAUAUUCUAGACGUUAGAAAAAUUAAAAAAUUUUAAAAGAAUAAUUAAUAUACAUGAUUUUUCGUAGUUUUUAAUUUGAUAAGUAUUGUUAAGUAUUCGUAUUAAUAGUUAACGACAAUUGAAAUAAAUGUUUGUGAUUCGUCUUCGACUGUUUGAAUUACGCAUUAAUAUAAGCA